RNAcentral lists this small RNA (115 nucleotides) under Salmonella enterica. Its description in RNAcentral is "partial RtT sRNA". It matches the Rfam family "RtT RNA". From Rfam's summary of the family: This family represents a bacterial cis-regulatory element known as RtT RNA. Lineage: Bacteria; Pseudomonadati; Pseudomonadota; Gammaproteobacteria; Enterobacterales; Enterobacteriaceae. The record is from RNAcentral.
GAUAUGGAAGAUUCGAACCUGCCGCAGGUUCGGGUCGAACGCAGUGAGACAACGGAGCCGUUUACGGCGACGGCCCGAAGGGCGAGCGAAGCGAGUCAUCCUGCACGACCCACCA